RNAcentral lists this ribosomal RNA (440 nucleotides) under uncultured bacterium. RNAcentral describes it as "partial 16S ribosomal RNA". It matches the Rfam family "Bacterial small subunit ribosomal RNA", at positions 338 to 795 of the family's 1533-position model. The record is from RNAcentral.
CCUACGGGAGGCAGCAGUGGGGAAUAUUGCACAAUGGGGGAAACCCUGAUGCAGCGACGCCGCGUGAAGGAAGAAGUAUUUCGGUAUGUAAACUUCUAUCAGCAGGGACGAAAAUGACGGUACCUGACUACGAAGCCCCGGCUAACUACGUGCCAGCAGCCGCGGUCAUACGUAGGGGGCAAGCGUUAUCCGGAUUUACUGGGUGUAAAGGGAGCGUAGGCGGGUUAGCAAGUCAGAAGUGAAAGCCCGGGGCUCAACGCCGGGACUGCUUUUGAAACUGUUGAACUAGAGGGCAGGAGAGGUAAGUGGAAUUCCUAGUGUAGCGGUGAAAUGCGUAGAUAUUAGGAGGAACACCAGUGGCGAAGGCGGCUUACUGGACUGUAAAUGACGCUGAGGCUCGAAAGCGUGGGGAGCAAACAGGAUUAGAUACCCCUGUAGUC